RNAcentral lists this ribosomal RNA (773 nucleotides) under uncultured Neocallimastigales. RNAcentral describes it as "partial large subunit ribosomal RNA". It matches the Rfam family "Eukaryotic large subunit ribosomal RNA", at positions 24 to 633 of the family's 3401-position model. The record is from RNAcentral. Lineage: Eukaryota; Fungi; Neocallimastigomycota; Neocallimastigomycetes; Neocallimastigales.
UAGUCUCGCACAGAUGCAUAUCAAUAAGCGGAGGAAAAGAAACUAACAAGGAUUUCCCUAGUAACGGCGAGUGAAGCGGGAAGAGCUCAAAUUUGAAAUCUUAAAGGGUUUCCCUUUACGAAUUGUAGUUUAAAGAAGUGUUUUCUGUUGAGGUUUUGGUAAAAGUUCUUUGGAAUAGGACAUCAUAGAGGGUGAGAAUCCCGUAUUUGACCUUUACUUUCAACUUUGUGAUACACUUUCAAAGAGUCGGAUUGUUUGGGAAUGCAGUCCAUAAUGGGUGGUAAAUUUCAUCUAAAGCUAAAUAUUGGCGAGAGACCGAUAGCGAACAAGUACCGUGAGGGAAAGAUGAAAAGAACUUUGAAAAGAGAGUUAAACAGUACGUGAAAUUGUCUAAAGGGAAGCGUUUGACACCAGUGUUGUUUUUCUGAAAAUCAAUUAAAGAACUGUUUAUGCUAAGCUGUUUAGACUUUAUCAGCUAUCUGUUUAGUUUUGAGCUUUUCUUUAAUGCACUUUUCAGUUAACAAGUCAACAUCAAUUUCUUUUGCUGUAAAAAAGCUUGAGGAAGGUGGCUUGAGAUUCGUCUUAAGUGUUUAUAGCCUCUUGCCUAUGCAGUCGGAGAGAUUGAGGUCUGCAGCGUAGAUCCUUCGGGGCUAAAUGCAUUUGUGCUAAGUUAUAGCAUUUUAUAGACAACUUGUUGACUAUGAUUUGUCUUGUAGCUUACUCGCUUAUGUUAUUUUACCUACGCUUAGGAUGUUGAAGACUCUACAGAGAUA